CUUGGGGGGACCAUACACUUGGUACAUAACAUCCAGACAGCUCAUGGCUGUCCGCGGCCGCUAAUUCGUUUUUCGGUCAUCAACUCGCGUUCUGCAGAGCGGAGCAGUGCUCGGCGGGAGGGAGGAUCCCGGGGGUUAAGAGGCACGGCUCACUGUGGGAGGAGUGAUUGAGGGGUGAGACCGCGCCGCGCUGAGGUCCCCCCCGGCUCUGCCUCCCCCCCACGCAGCGCGGCUCCCUCCCGGCGCCCGCAACCGCGCUGCGGCUCCGCGGGACGGGGGGACUCAACCCAGGGCAGGGAGGGGAGAGCCCCCUUCCGCCCGCCGUGCCGGGGCGGGUUUCCCCGGACGAAGCAGGGACCGUCCUGCAAGGAAGGUAAUGCCCCCAGACCCAGAGUGCGCCUGGGAACGCUGGCACCAGAGCUCCGGGAUCAGCCGAAGCUGGAGAAAAGUUAUCUCACCGGGAGGAACCUUCCUAGAAACGUAGGAUGGGAAAUGCCGGGAAUGAAUGAGGAUGCUUGUGCACGGUUCCUGUGGUAAAAACAACCCGUAGGGAAGGUAAAGCGGCUUACCCCUCGGCUUCCCGGUGAGCGCAAGCACACGGACAGGUGAACGCAUCCCAGCGCAGCUUCGACGGCGGUGUGCAGGAGAGCUCGGUCUGUAACACACGGAUGGAGGCUCUCAUGUCGGUGCCAGCUCCUGAAGCAUCCAUAGCGUGGCUCAUAGCGACUGAGGAAAGGGACCCGAUUGAACUUAGUUGAAGCAAAUACCCGCAGUAGAGGGAAGGACUCGCCCCAUGGCCGGCAUCCAAAAGGCUGCGCUCAGUGGAAGAAUGCACCAGCUCCCUGCAGCAGGAGCCUGAGGGACCUCACUGGGACCACAGGGCCCCUCUCCCAGCCUGGUGUCCCCCACCAGGCAGCGUCCCCAUCCCGAGGAGGUUGGGGUCUGUCUCAAAGGACACGGCAACUGUUACCAUGGUUUUCUCAGCAUUGUUUCUGAGGUGCAGUCCCUGGGUCCAUGUGGGUGAAGAUUUCAGGGUCAGAAAUUGCUGGUUUGAUUGCAUUCAUGGGCACUGAAUUCAUGAAGCUUACAGAUAAAAUUCAGCAUGAUAAAGUUUCAGACAGAGGGAGGUAGGUGGCAGAGGAAGACUGCAGCUUGAGAAAGUGAGUAGCUAGAUGCAAGGAAACAACAAGACUGCCAGAUUCUUAGCUGAGCAUAAACAGGCACAAAGGAGUCUUUGGUUGAAAAAUGAUGUGAUCCAACAAACUAUCAUGACAAGUACUUGCAUGUCAGCUGCAGAUUACGGUCCAUUAGAUUUGGGUGCGCAGUGGAGAGAGACCUACCUUUGAUAACUCAAAGACAGGAGGUACACUAUGUGGGCCAUAACCAGGUAUUGUAAUAUGCUUCAAAGAAUCUGUGGACGAGAGGAUUUCUUGUUUAUUACCAGCAAUGUCAAAUGACAGGUGCGAAAUAAAUUUUAUCUAAAAAGCUUGUGUGAUGGUCAAGUUUUGGAGGUGUUGAGAACCAAACACUUUGACAUUACACUCUGUGUAGUCAUUCCAGUGGUUCAUAAACACCUAGUUCUGGCAGUCUGAAUCCAGACAUCGAGGAAAAAAUCUGUGGUGCUGAAUUUACUCUGAGCAAUCAGAAUCUCAUCCACUGACCCCC
Molecule: long non-coding RNA, 1665 nt
Filed under: Gallus gallus (chicken)
Lineage: Eukaryota; Metazoa; Chordata; Aves; Galliformes; Phasianidae
Source: RNAcentral